UGGGGAAUCUUCCGCAAUGGACGCAAGUCUGAUGGAGCAACGCCGCGUGAGUGAAGAAGGUCUUCGGAUCGUAAAACUCUGUUGUUAGAGAAGAACACGAGUGAGAGUAACUGUUCAUUCGAUGACGGUAUCUAACCAGCAAGUCACGGCUAACUACGUGCCAG
RNAcentral lists this ribosomal RNA (164 nucleotides) under uncultured bacterium. Its description in RNAcentral is "partial 16S rRNA". It matches the Rfam family "Bacterial small subunit ribosomal RNA", at positions 355 to 511 of the family's 1533-position model. The record is from RNAcentral.